This 460-nucleotide ribosomal RNA is filed under the name uncultured bacterium. Its description in RNAcentral is "partial 16S ribosomal RNA". It matches the Rfam family "Bacterial small subunit ribosomal RNA", at positions 338 to 795 of the family's 1533-position model. The record is from RNAcentral.
CCUACGGGAGGCAGCAGUGAGGAAUAUUGGUCAAUGGACGAGAGUCUGAACCAGCCAAGUAGCGUGAAGGAUGACUGCCCUAUGGGUUGUAAACUUCUUUUAUAAAGGAAUAAAACGCGGCACGUGUGCCUUUUUGCAUGUACUUUAUGAAUAAGGAUCGGCUAACUCCGUGCCAGCAGCCGCGGUAAUACGGAGGGUCCGAGCGUUAUCCGGAUUUAUUGGGUUUAAAGGGAGCGUAGAUGGGUUGUUAAGUCAGUUGUGAAAGUUUGCGGCUCAACCGUAAAAUUGCAAUUGAUACUGGCAGUCUUGAGUACAGUUGAGGUAGGCGGAAUUCGUGGUGUAGCGGUGAAAUGCUUAGAUAUCACGAAGAACCCCGAUUGUGAAGGCAGCUUACUAAACUGUGACUGACAUUGAUGCUCGAAAGUGUGGGUAGCAAACAGGAUUAGAUACCCUUGUAGUC